This 253-nucleotide ribosomal RNA is filed under the name uncultured bacterium. RNAcentral describes it as "partial 16S ribosomal RNA". It matches the Rfam family "Bacterial small subunit ribosomal RNA", at positions 524 to 776 of the family's 1533-position model. The record is from RNAcentral.
UACGUAGGGGGCUAGCGUUGUCCGGAAUCAUUGGGCGUAAAGCGCGUGUAGGCGGUCCGGUAAGUCCGCUGUGAAAGUCGGGGGCUCAACCCUCGAAUGCCGGUGGAUACUGUCGGGCUAGAGUGCGGAAGAGGCGAGUGGAAUUCCUGGUGUAGCGGUGAAAUGCGCAGAUAUUCGGAAGAACACCAGUGGCGAAGGCGGCUCACUGGCCCGAUACUGACGCUGAGGCACGAAAGCGUGGGGAGCAAACAGG